UUUCUCCCUUCUGACGAACCAUGAUGUCAUUUAUUUGGUGUUGUGGGGAAUCAGGACUGUUACUUUGAAAAAAUUAGAGUGUUUAAAGCAGGCUCACGCUUGAAUACAUUAGCAUGGAAUAAUGAAAUAGGACGUUUGAUUCUAUUUUGUUGGUUUCUAGGAUCGACGUAAUGAUUAAUAGGGAUAGUUGGGGGCAUUAGUAUUCAAUUGUCAGAGGUGAAAUUCUUGGAUUUAUUGAAGACUAACUACUGCGAAAGCAUUUGCCAAGGAUGUUUUCAUUAAUCAAGAACGAAAGUUAGGGGAUCGAAGACGAUCAGAUACCGUCGUAGUCUUAACCAUAAACUAUGCCGACUAGGGAUCGGAUGAUGUUAAUUUUUUAAUGACUCAUUCGGCGCCUUACG
RNAcentral lists this ribosomal RNA (401 nucleotides) under uncultured Glomeromycotina. RNAcentral describes it as "SSU rRNA". It matches the Rfam family "Eukaryotic small subunit ribosomal RNA", at positions 693 to 1092 of the family's 1831-position model. Lineage: Eukaryota; Fungi; Glomeromycota. The record is from RNAcentral.